GAGUUUGAUCCUGGCUCAGGAUUAACGCUGGCGGCGUGCCUAAUACAUGCAAGUCGAACGGAAGUACCUUCGGGUACUUUAGUGGCGAACGGGUGAGUAAUACAUAGGUAACCUACCCUUAAGACGAGGAUAGCCAUUGGAAACGAUGGAUAAAACUGGAUAGGAUAUAGAGGAAGAAUCUUUUAUAUUUAAAAGAGAGAUCUGCUUAAGGAGGGGCCUGUGGCGCAUUAGCUAGUUGGUGGGGUAAGGGCCUACCAAGGCGAUGAUGCGUAGCCGGACUGAGAGGUUGAACAGCCACAAUGGAACUGAGAACGGUCCAUACUCCUACGGGAGGCAGCAGUAGGGAAUUUUCGGCAAUGGGGGGAACCCUGACCGAGCAACGCCGCGUGAACGAAGAAGUUAUUCGUAAUGUAAAGUUCUUUUAUCAGGGAAGAAAGAGGAAUUGACGGUACCUGAGGAAUAG
Molecule: ribosomal RNA, 463 nt
Filed under: uncultured bacterium
Lineage: Bacteria
Description: bacterial SSU rRNA
Rfam family: Bacterial small subunit ribosomal RNA
Source: RNAcentral